RNAcentral lists this ribosomal RNA (459 nucleotides) under uncultured bacterium. RNAcentral describes it as "partial 16S ribosomal RNA". It matches the Rfam family "Bacterial small subunit ribosomal RNA", at positions 338 to 795 of the family's 1533-position model. The record is from RNAcentral.
CCUACGGGAGGCAGCAGUGAGGAAUAUUGGUCAAUGGGAGAGAUCCUGAACCAGCCAAGCCGCGUGAGGGAAGAAGGCCCUAUGGAUUGUAAACCUCUUUUGUCAAAGAACAAAACCCGGCACGUGUGCCUGACUGCGUGUAUCCGAAGAAAAAGCAUCGGCUAACUCCGUGCCAGCAGCCGCGGUAAUACGGAGGAUGCGAGCGUUAUCCGGAUUUAUUGGGUUUAAAGGGUGCGUAGGCGGGCCGUUAAGUCCGCGGUAAAAUUCCGGGGCUCAACCCCGUCGAGCCGUUGAAACUGGCAGACUUGAGUUGGCGAGAAGUACGCGGAAUGCGCGGUGUAGCGGUGAAAUGCUUAGAUAUUGCGCAGAACUCCGAUUGCGAAGGCAGCGUACCGGCGCCAGACUGACGCUGAGGCACGAAAGCGUGGGGAUCGAACAGGAUUAGAUACCCUAGUAGUC